UACAGAGGGGGCAAGCGUUGUUCGGAAUUACUGGGCGUAAAGGGCGCGUAGGCGGCCUGUUAAGUCGAACGCGAAAUCCCCGGGCUCAACCCGGGAACUGCGUCCGAUACUGGCAGGCUUGAAUCCGGGAGAGGGAUGCGGAAUUCCAGGUGUAGCGGUGAAAUGCGUAGAGAUGUGGAGGAAUACCGAUGGCGAAGGCAGCCUCCUGGGAUAACACUGACGCUCAUGCACGAAAGCGUGGGGAGCAAACAGG
Molecule: ribosomal RNA, 253 nt
Filed under: uncultured bacterium
Lineage: Bacteria
Description: partial 16S ribosomal RNA
Rfam family: Bacterial small subunit ribosomal RNA
Source: RNAcentral